This 1958-nucleotide long non-coding RNA is filed under the name Sus scrofa (pig). Its description in RNAcentral is "lncRNA (ENSSSCG00060066193.1)". The record is from RNAcentral. Lineage: Eukaryota; Metazoa; Chordata; Mammalia; Artiodactyla; Suidae.
GUCAGAGACCCACCAUCUUCUAAUCACCCCAAACAUAUCAUAUAGGCAGUUUACGACAAACAUUUGACUUGACUUUCUGAUGACACCUGCCACUGCUGUCGGGGGUGUUUACAAUGCAUACAGUAAAUUGUUUGACUGUAUCCAUAAUUAUUUCCACGAUCAAGACUCCAUUUUUUUAAAAAAGGUUUAUAAGGAAAGCCACUUGUAACAAGGUAAGGAGGACAUGGCAGGGCAAUGGAGAAAGCAAGAGUGAAGAUGGUAUUAGGUCUUCUUUUUAAAUUUUUUGAUUGCGCCCACGACACAGAAGUUCUAGGGCCAGGGACUGAACCCAAGCGACAGCAGUGACAAUGCUCCACAGCAGUGACAACGUUGAAUCCUUAACCGUUAGGCCACCAAAGACUCCCAGUAUCAUGCAUGUUUGUACAGAAGACUUUUUAACUGCAAAAACACAUGUUCCCUAAAGAAAAUUUUGAUUGCAAAGUAGAAUGAAAAAAAAAAUCUGUUAUUUCAUCAACCAAAGCAGUGUUCAGCCAUUCCCUCACUUCCCAAACUUUUAAAGUCAUACACACUAUCAAACUUGACGACUUACAUUAAGCUUUUGAAGAUUCUUUAGUUCUAAACAUCUUUAAUUGGUAACAACCACUUUUUCUUUUUUAAACCAACAACGUAGAAACCAGAAAUGAAAAAGAUGCUAAAAGCAUUUAAGUUUGAGGUAUAGCAAUUAUAUUUUGGAAAUUAAAUAGGGAUGCAUGGAAGCUGGAGGAGUGUCCUUACAGAUCCAUUAGCAUUCUAGCCAAAGAAAUGUUUGAUCCUGCCCACAGCAAGGCUCCAGUGCUGUGGCUGGAAGCUUUGAUCUUGAGUCCCACUCCAGCAUAUGGUGCUACUAAGCAUAAUCAAAGUGCAAAUCUUUAUAGAAAUUACAGAGGCUGAAAGGGGGAUGGAUGCUUCCUUCCUCUAAUUUCCUUUCCUGCCAUGUUCUUGGUCUUAAGUAGAAAAACAUUUGGUCUUUUGAUGAAAGCUGCAGAUAGUUGGGGAGCAUUUUUACACUGUAUACAGUCAAUUAUUUGACUGUCCGAAAUGAUUUCCAUUACUGAGACUGGCAAUGUUUCUUGCCAGCUUAGAGCCACGGUUUUCAUACCCAUUUACCAAUGGGUAUGAAAUUGCCUCCCUUAUUUUGGCCCUACACAGUGACAUUAGAAUAAGGGGACCCUGACAGUUCUGGCUUUUGGGGGGGUGGGAUAGAGGGGAAGGUACAUGACACAUGCACAUUCAGAUUUUGACAAUAAAUCAUUGAAAAUUUUCAGGAUGAGCUGUGAAUUCUUGCAGUUGAUCCUCUUCCAAAGGGGUGCCCCCCUUACAAAUUUUGGUAAGCCAUGAAUUAUAACUCAGAUCAAGGUGUUAGAAACACAUAUUUUUUAAAUUAAAUUCCCUUCACGUAGAUCUGUCAGCCCACUGAAGAGAGUGGGAGACAACCUCUGGAUUAUAAAUUGCAAGCAAAACUCGUGUUUUGGCAAAGUAAAUUAUCCUGACCCUCUCACCCACACUGCGUUGCUCCAUUUGAGAAACUGCCAUGCCCCUUGGCCCAGACAGACAGGCCUCAGGCAAGCUUGCAAUUUGCAAGGAGCUGGACCAAGGAAGACUCUGUGUGCCGUUUCUCAUGGUUACUGCUUAUUGUGCCCAAGCCUUAUGCACAUUAUUUUUAAUCAUGCAGUUAUUAAAAAGAGAGAGAGAGAUGUCUAAAGCAUCAUUCAGGAAGUUUAGUCAAGUGCAGGCCAGUCUACUUCCAGCUGGUGGGCGCCUGCUCGGCUUCUGUCUGUCCUCACUGGGCAGCUCCAAGCCUGGCUGGCUGGUACUCUUACUGCACCGGUUGCUAAAUAUUUUGACUAUCAUCCCGAACUGGCCUCAUUAGUUGUACAUAGAGGCAUGUAUCAACAGGGAGCCUAGUGAGGUCCAACUAU